This 199-nucleotide non-coding RNA is filed under the name Bacteroides stercoris. RNAcentral's name for it is "Bacterial large subunit ribosomal RNA". It matches the Rfam family "Bacterial large subunit ribosomal RNA", at positions 2710 to 2925 of the family's 2925-position model. Lineage: Bacteria; Pseudomonadati; Bacteroidota; Bacteroidia; Bacteroidales; Bacteroidaceae. The record is from Rfam by way of RNAcentral.
UGGUUUACCGGUUGUGCCGCCAGGUGCAUUGCCGGGUAUCUAAGUCGGGAUUGGAUAAGUGCUGAAAGCAUCUAAGUACGAAGCCAGCCACAAGAUUAGAUUUCUUAGGGUCGUCACAGACGAUGACGUUGAUAGGAUGCAGGUGUACAGGCAGCGAUGUCAUAGCCGAGCAUUACUAAUUGCCCGUUCACUUUUGGUU